Molecule: ribosomal RNA, 404 nt
Filed under: uncultured bacterium
Lineage: Bacteria
Description: bacterial SSU rRNA
Rfam family: Bacterial small subunit ribosomal RNA
Source: RNAcentral
CAAGGAAUUUUCGUCAAUGGGGGGAACCCUGAACGAGCAACGCCGCGUGGGCGAAGAAGUCCUUCGGGAUGUAAAGCCCUUUUCCCUGCGAAGAGCGAAAGACGGUAGCAGGGGAAUAAGCAUCGGCUAACUACGUGCCAGCAGCCGCGGUAAUACGUAGGAUGCAAGCGUUGUCCGGAAUUAUUGGGCGUAAAGAGCGCGCAGGCGGUGUGACAAGUCAGAUGUGAAAGAGGCCGGCUUAACCGGCAAGGGUCAUUUGAAACUGUCAGACUGGAGUGCAGCAGAGGAUAGUGGAAUUCCCGGUGUAGUGGUGAAAUGCGUAGAUAUCGGGAGGAACACCAGUGGCGAAGGCGACUAUCUGGGCUGCAACUGACGCUGAGGCGCGAAGGCUAGGGUAGCAAACA